This 488-nucleotide ribosomal RNA is filed under the name uncultured bacterium. Its description in RNAcentral is "partial 16S ribosomal RNA". It matches the Rfam family "Bacterial small subunit ribosomal RNA", at positions 28 to 507 of the family's 1533-position model. The record is from RNAcentral.
GACGAACGCUGGCGGCGUGCUUAACACAUGCAAGUCGAACGAAAAUACCAAGCUUGCUUGGUUGAUUAGUGGCGAACGGGUGAGUAACACGUGAGUAACCUGCCCCUUACUUUCCUGGAUAACUGCUCGAAAGGGUAGCUAAUACGGGAUAUUCUGACCAGCCUGCAUGGGUUGGUUUGGAAAGGUUGUUUUUCUGGUAAGGGAUGGGCUCGCGGCCUAUCAGCUUGUUGGUGGGGUGAUGGCCUACCAAGGCUUUGACGGGUAGCCGGCCUGAGAGGGUGGACGGUCACACUGGGACUGAGAUACGGCCCAGACUCCUACGGGAGGCAGCAGUGGGGAAUAUUGCACAAUGAGCGCAAGCCUGAUGCAGCGACGCCGCGUGAGGGAGGAAGGCCUUCGGGUUGUAAACCUCUUUCGUCAGGGAACAAGGCACUGCUUUUUUGGUGGUGUUGAGGGUACCUGGAUAAGAAGCGCCGGCUAACUACGUG